AGUGAACGCUGGCGGCAGGCCUAACACAUGCAAGUCGAACGGCAGCACAGUAAGAGCUUGCUCUUACGGGUGGCGAGUGGCGGACGGGUGAGGAAUACAUCGGAAUCUACUUUUUCGUAGGGGAUAACGGAGGUACACUUACGCUAAUACCGCAUACGACCUACGGGUGAAAGCAGGGGAUCUUGGGACCUUGCGCGAUUGAAUGAGCGGAUGUCGGAUUAGCUAGUUGGCGGGGUAAAGGCCCACCAAGGCGACGAUCCGUAGCUGGUCUGAGAGGAUGAUCAGCCACACUGGAACUGAGACACGGUCCAGACUCCUACGGGAGGCAGCAGUGGGGAAUAUUGGACAAUGGGCGCAAGCCUGAUCCAGCCAUACCGCGUGGAUGAAGAAGGCCUUCGGGUUGUAAAGCCCUUUUGUUGGGAAAGAAAAGCAGUAGGUUAAUAACGAAGUCUUCUGACGGUACCCUAAGAAUAAGCACCGGCUAACUACGUG
Molecule: ribosomal RNA, 492 nt
Filed under: uncultured bacterium
Lineage: Bacteria
Description: partial 16S ribosomal RNA
Rfam family: Bacterial small subunit ribosomal RNA
Source: RNAcentral